GAUUAACGCUGGCGGCGUGCAUAACACAUGCAAGUCGAACGAUGAAACUUAGUCGACUUCUUCGGAAAGACACUAAGCGGCUUAGUGGCGAACGGGUGAGUAACGCGUGAGUAACCUGCCUUACACAAGGGGAUAGCCUUUGGAAACGAAGAAUAAUACCCUAUAAAACCAUAAAAGCACAUGCUAGAAUGGUCAAAGUGAUAGCGGUGUAAGAUGGACUUGCGUCUGAUUAGCUAGUUGGUGAGAUAAAAGCUCACCAAGGCAACGAUCAGUAGCCGGCGUGAGAGAGUGUACGGACACAUUGGGACUGAGACACGGCCCAGACUACUACGGGAGGCAGCAGUGGGGAAUUUUGCACAAUGGGGGAAACCCUGAUGCAGCGACGCCGCGUGAUUUAGAAGGCCUUCGGGUUGUAAAAAUCUUUUGUAUAGGAAGAAAAUGACAGUACUAUACGAAUAAGGUCCGGCUAAUUACGUG
Molecule: ribosomal RNA, 477 nt
Filed under: uncultured bacterium
Lineage: Bacteria
Description: partial 16S ribosomal RNA
Rfam family: Bacterial small subunit ribosomal RNA
Source: RNAcentral